UUAAGCGACUAAGCGUACACGGUGGAUGCCCUGGCAGUCAGAGGCGAUGAAGGACGUGCUAAUCUGCGAUAAGCGCCGGUAAGGUGAUAUGAACCGUUAUAACCGGCGAUUUCCGAAUGGGGAAACCCAGUGUGAUUCGUCACACUAUCAUUAACUGAAUCCAUAGGUUAAUGAGGCGAACCGGGGGAACUGAAACAUCUAAGUACCCCGAGGAAAAGAAAUCAACCGAGAUUCCCCCAGUAGCGGCGAGCGAACGGGGAGGAGCCCAGAGCCUGAAUCAGCAUGUGUGUUAGUGGAAGCGUCUGGAAAGGUGCGCGAUACAGGGUGACAGCCCCGUACACAAAAGCGCAUGUGCUGUGAGCUCGAUGAGUAGGGCGGGACACGUGGUAUCCUGUCUGAAUAUGGGGGGACCAUCCUCCAAGGCUAAAUACUCCUGACUGACCGAUAGUGAACCAGUACCGUGAGGGAAAGGCGAAAAGAACCCCGGCGAGGGGAGUGAAAAAGAACCUGAAACCGUGUACGUACAAGCAGUGGGAGCACAGGUUUACCUGUGUGACUGCGUACCUUUUGUAUAAUGGGUCAGCGACUUAUAUUCUGUAGCAAGGUUAACCGAAUAGGGGAGCCGGAGGGAAACCGAGUCUUAAUUGGGCGUUAAGUUGCAGGGUAUAGACCCGAAACCCGGUGAUCUAGCCAUGGGCAGGUUGAAGGUUGGGUAACACUAACUGGAGGACCGAACCGACUAAUGUUGAAAAAUUAGCGGAUGACCUGUGGCUGGGGGUGAAAGGCCAAUCAAACCGGGAGAUAGCUGGUUCUCCCCGAAAGCUAUUUAGGUAGCGCCUCGUGAAUUCAUCUCCGGGGGUAGAGCACUGUUUUGGCUAGGGGGCCAUCCCGGCUUACCAACCCGAUGCAAACUGCGAAUACCGGAGAAUGUUAUCACGGGAGACACACGGCGGGUGCUAACGUCCGUCGUGAAGAGGGAAACAACCCAGACCGCCAGCUAAGGUCCCAAAGUCAUGGUUAAGUGGGAAACGAUGUGGGAAGGCCCAGACAGCCAGGAUGUUGGCUUAGAAGCAGCCAUCAUUUAAAGAAAGCGUAAUAGCUCACUGGUCGAGUCGGCCUGCGCGGAAGAUGUAACGGGGCUAAACCAUGCACCGAAGCUGCGGCAGCGAACGUAUCACUUAAAGCGAUUCAGCGGGUUACGAUUGACGGAGCGAAGCGACGUCAAAGCGUAUACAAAGUCGAGUCGGUUUAAGGAUACGUUCGUUGGGUAGGGGAGCGUUCUGUAAGCCCGUGAAGGUGGCCUGUGAGGGUUGCUGGAGGUAUCAGAAGUGCGAAUGCUGACAUAAGUAACGAUAAAGCGGGUGAAAAGCCCGCUCGCCGGAAGACCAAGGGUUCCUGUCCAACGUUAAUCGGGGCAGGGUGAGUCGACCCCUAAGGCGAGGCCGAAAGGCGUAGUCGAUGGGAAACGGGUUAAUAUUCCCGUACUUGGUGUUACUGCGAAGGGGGGACGGAGAAGGCUAUGUUGGCCGGGCGACGGUUGUCCCGGUUUAAGCGUGUAGGUGUGUGUUCCAGGUAAAUCCGGUUCACUUUAACACUGAGGCGUGAUGACGAGGCACUACGGUGCUGAAGCAACAAAUGCCCUGCUUCCAGGAAAAGCCUCUAAGCAUCAGGUAACAUCAAAUCGUACCCCAAACCGACACAGGUGGUCAGGUAGAGAAUACCAAGGCGCUUGAGAGAACUCGGGUGAAGGAACUAGGCAAAAUGGUGCCGUAACUUCGGGAGAAGGCACGCUGACACGUAGGUGAAGUGAUUUACUCACGGAGCUGAAGUCAGUCGAAGAUACCAGCUGGCUGCAACUGUUUAUUAAAAACACAGCACUGUGCAAACACGAAAGUGGACGUAUACGGUGUGACGCCUGCCCGGUGCCGGAAGGUUAAUUGAUGGGGUCAGCGCAAGCGAAGCUCCUGAUCGAAGCCCCGGUAAACGGCGGCCGUAACUAUAACGGUCCUAAGGUAGCGAAAUUCCUUGUCGGGUAAGUUCCGACCUGCACGAAUGGCGUAAUGAUGGCCAGGCUGUCUCCACCCGAGACUCAGUGAAAUUGAACUCGCUGUGAAGAUGCAGUGUACCCGCGGCAAGACGGAAAGACCCCGUGAACCUUUACUAUAGCUUGACACUGAACAUUGAGCCUUGAUGUGUAGGAU
Molecule: ribosomal RNA, 2201 nt
Filed under: Salmonella enterica subsp. enterica serovar Typhimurium
Lineage: Bacteria; Pseudomonadati; Pseudomonadota; Gammaproteobacteria; Enterobacterales; Enterobacteriaceae
Description: bacterial LSU rRNA
Rfam family: Bacterial large subunit ribosomal RNA
Source: RNAcentral